AGUGAACGCUGGCGGUAGGCCUAACACAUGCAAGUCGAACGGCAGCACAGUAAGAGCUUGCUCUUACGGGUUGCGAAUGGCGUGCGUGUGAGGAAUACAUCGGAAUCUACUUUUUCGUGUGGGAUAACGUAGGGAAACUUACGCUAAUACCGCAUACGACCUACCAGGGAAAGCAUUGGAUCUUCUGACCUUUCGCGAUUGAAUGAGCCGAUGUCGGAUUAGCUAGUUGGCGGGGUAAAUGCCCACCAAGGCGACGAUCCGUAGCCCGUCUGAGAGGAUGGUAAGCGACAUUGGAACUGAGACACGGUCAAGACUACUACGGGAGGCCGCAGUGGGCAAUGUGGGACAACGGUCGCGAGCCUGAUCCAGCCAUACGGCGUGGGUGACGGAGGCCUUCGGGUUGUAAAGACGUCUUGUUGGGAAAGAAACGCAGUAGGUUAAGACGACGCUGUUGUGACGGUACCGAAAGAAUAAGCACCGGCUAACUACGUG
Molecule: ribosomal RNA, 492 nt
Filed under: uncultured bacterium
Lineage: Bacteria
Description: partial 16S ribosomal RNA
Rfam family: Bacterial small subunit ribosomal RNA
Source: RNAcentral